Stereum hirsutum FP-91666 SS1 is the source of this 109-nucleotide non-coding RNA. The record is from the annotation of a RefSeq genome assembly. NCBI's taxonomy places the organism in Eukaryota, Fungi, Basidiomycota, Agaricomycetes, Russulales, Stereaceae.
GGGCAUAUGGUAUAGCAGGUUCAUCACGCUCGCAUGAUAUAUACAUACACACUUCAAACAGUGCCAGUGAUCCCUGUGCGAGGAGUCGGUUCGAGUCCGAAUCUGUCCA